RNAcentral lists this small RNA (212 nucleotides) under Streptomyces sp. RNAcentral's name for it is "c-di-AMP sequence". It matches the Rfam family "c-di-AMP riboswitch aptamer (ydaO/yuaA leader)". Rfam says of the family: This family represents a conserved RNA structure found upstream of the ydaO and yuaA genes in Bacillus subtilis and related genes in other bacteria. The ydaO/yuaA element is thought to act as a genetic "off" switch for the ydaO and yuaA genes in its native state. It is believed that the element may be triggered during osmotic shock leading to activation of ydaO, a predicted amino acid transporter gene, and members of the yuaA-yubG operon which code for KtrA and KtrB K+ transporters. Lineage: Bacteria; Bacillati; Actinomycetota; Actinomycetes; Kitasatosporales; Streptomycetaceae. The record is from RNAcentral.
UCCGGGCGGACGCCGAGUCCUGCCGCCGCCCGGAUGACCGGUCGACAGGAGUGGAUCGGCAGGAGUGGAGGACCCAAGCACGACGGGUCGCCGGCACGGUCACGCCAUGACCGGACCGAGCAGCCCUUGGGGUGAAGCCGCGCAUGCGGCCGGGCAACUUCGCCAGCCCGAAUCCGACAGGUCAUCCUUCACAGGCGGCUGACGAAGGGUUG